GACUCUGUAGCCCAUAGAUUUUUGUGCAUCUCCUAUAGAAAACAAUGAGACAUUUCACUAUUUACAAGUUACAAGUUGUUUGAAAUCAAUAUUCUAUAUUGUAAUUGUAUUUGAUUAUAUAUCUAAAUUUAAUUUAAAUGUUUGAAUAAGAUCAAAUCUAAUUCAUUUUAUUUUUUAUACUAUUCUCCUUGCCUUCAUCAUAUUUCUUCAAAGGUUUCUAAAAAUAAUAGAUAGAUGAGUACUUUAAAAAAGUGAGUUUUAAUAUUCAAUUUUUAAAAUAAAUAUAUCCUCGAAUCCUUGUAUAAAUUUUUAUUUAUUAAGAUUAAGUUGGUAUCCAAUAAAAUUUUAAGCAAAUAAUUCAUAUCUAUAUUAGUGUAUUUAUAUAAAAACUAUUUGAUGAUAAUUUUUUUAAUAAGAAUAACACAAGAUAUAUAUCAAUUUAUAAACUUAAUUAUGUUUUAAGAAACACAUGCAUUCUGACAAUUAAUAAAAUCUAGGAUUUUUACCAAAAAAAAUCUAUAUUUAAAUUAUUAGAAAAAUAGGAGUGGGAUUGUAUUAAGAACCAUGUAAUUUAUGUGUUUAAUAAGUGUUUUUUAAAAUAUUUAAAUACAUCUAAAUGAUAUAUAUUUUUUAAAGAUUUGUUUUAUGUUUUUGAUAUUAACAUAUCAAAAAAUACCUAAAAAUUUAAUAAAUCCUUUUUUUUCAAAAAAAAUAAUUUAAAAAGCAAUUCAAAAAACUAGUUGAAACGGGAUACCCCCACACCUUUAAAAAAAAAAAAAAAAAACCACUUGAUCAAGCCUUUGCACGUAGUUUCUUCCACAAGUGAUGAGAUUUUCCCCUCUUUUUGGUAAAGCAAAACGUGAAGGAAGAAAACUUAAAUUCUUGGUGUGAUCAAUCAAUACAGUAACAAAAGCAGGUAAAUCACUUUUUUAGCUUUUCCAAGGUUAAAAUCCAAGCUAGAAACUAACAAGUGCCUAAAUCCGCCAUGAAAGUGGCUGGAAGAACUUGUUUCUAGCGAAGCCUGUAGCAGUAAAACCCUGUCUUGCAUAUAGAAGACAAGCAUAUCUUCUUACCCCAACUAGCCACUGUCACCAAUUCUUACAUGAUGGCGUUUGGAA
Molecule: long non-coding RNA, 1118 nt
Filed under: Populus tremula
Lineage: Eukaryota; Viridiplantae; Streptophyta; Magnoliopsida; Malpighiales; Salicaceae
Description: long non-coding RNA (PTRE_LNC001571)
Source: RNAcentral